ACCAGUAUUUGAUCAAGAGUAUGUGAGUAGCUGCUCUCUCCUGCUAGAACCUCCAAACCAGCACUUGAGAAAAUCUUAAGAGGCUGAAGAGAUGUCUCAGC
Molecule: small RNA, 101 nt
Filed under: Mus spicilegus (steppe mouse)
Lineage: Eukaryota; Metazoa; Chordata; Mammalia; Rodentia; Muridae
Description: 7SK RNA (ENSMSIG00000000411.1)
Source: RNAcentral